RNAcentral lists this ribosomal RNA (274 nucleotides) under uncultured bacterium. Its description in RNAcentral is "partial 16S ribosomal RNA". It matches the Rfam family "Bacterial small subunit ribosomal RNA", at positions 523 to 796 of the family's 1533-position model. The record is from RNAcentral.
AUACGGAGGGUGCAAGCGUUAUUCGGAAUCACUGGGCGUAAAGGACGCGUAGGCGGGUUGGCAAGUCAGAUGUGAAAUCCUACAGCUUAACUGUAGAACUGCAUUUGAAACUGCUAACCUAGAGUAUGGGAGGGGGAGAUGGAAUUGGUGGUGUAGGGGUAAAAUCCGUAGAUAUCACUAGGAAUACCGAAAGCGAAGGCGAUCUCCUGGAACAUAACUGACGCUAAGGCGUGAAAGCGUGGGGAGCAAACAGGAUUAGAUACCCUAGUAGUCC